Molecule: long non-coding RNA, 1225 nt
Organism: Juglans regia (Persian walnut)
Lineage: Eukaryota; Viridiplantae; Streptophyta; Magnoliopsida; Fagales; Juglandaceae
Exons: 3
Source: RefSeq, a predicted model, not a curated record
CUUCCAAAAAUUGACGGGCAAGCCCACCUAAGUAGGGCGAAACUUGCUCGCCUCAAAUAAGGUGUUCGUGAUGUUAGGUGUCGGCACGACCCGCCGUCUCAAAACGAUCAUUAACGAGUCGCCUUUCACCCCUGACAGGACGAGUUAUUUUAUGUACAACCCGUCGCUUGCUUAUUUAUAGGAAUACUCUGGGCCUUCCCCUUCUUAGCUUUCGCGAUGUGGGACUCCAAUUCCCAUCCUCUUUCUUUCUGUUUGUAUUGGUUCACACAAAAGUCUACGUGCUGAGCCGGAGACUGGGAGCGGGUACGGUUGAGGGAGAUGAUCUCAGUGGAGAUCUAUCGGAGUCGACCAGUUCGUAUAAAAGGAGAAUCGCUCGCAGGCCACAGCUCAGGCCCCGGCAACUGUCUCAGAAGGCUCCUCACAUGGGAGAUGAAAUGAAUAGUCAUGAACGGAUUGUUGCACAUCUCGUGAGGCUUAUUCAUAGAGAGGGUAAAUUGAUAGGGACUAUAGACUAUAGUCAACCACUGAGCUAAAAAGCAGAGAGGACUUUUCAGAAAAAUAGCAAUUUUCAAAGAAGCAGUUUCCGGUGUUUUUAGAGUCUGCCGGUUUCUCACAGGAAGAUGUCCUCCUUCACAAGCCCAAGGCAGGGCUUUUGAAGCCCGCUUUCACAAUUAUAGGAGAUAAAGAUUCAAAAUGUUUUUCUGUUGAUUCGUGGUACUCAUAGCAUUGAAGAUACACUAACAGCAGCAACUGGUGCAGUGGUCCCCUUCCACCACUCGGUUUUACUUGAUGGAGGGAUAAGCAAUUUGGUUUUAGGAUAUGCCCAUUGUGGAAUGGUUGCUGCUGCUCGUUGGAUAGCAAAGCUUAGCACUCCUUUUCUGCUCAAAGCUCAUGAUGAAUAUCCCGACUACAAUGUUCAGAUUGUUGGCCAUUCGCUUGGUGGUGGUACUGCUGCACUUUUGACAUAUAUUCUUCGAGAGCAGAAAGAAUUCUCCUCAAGCACUUGUGUCACAUUUGCCCCAGGCAUGUGCUGAUCAAGUGUGAUGCUUAUGUUCUGUUUUCUAUUACUACCAAUAUGUGUGUAACUUUAUUUCAUGGGCUUUUUAAGGACUUCAUAAAUUUUCAUAGAAGGAUAGAGGAUUAAUAGCGUUUGCAACUGGUUUUCUACGACUACGAAUAAGUCGUACUUGUUGAUUAUUUUUAUUCAAGUCAGAAUUAUGUGGAC